RNAcentral lists this non-coding RNA (174 nucleotides) under Paracellulophaga baltica. The record is from RNAcentral. Lineage: Bacteria; Pseudomonadati; Bacteroidota; Flavobacteriia; Flavobacteriales; Flavobacteriaceae.
GUAACCGCGAGGUUACAUCUGAAGAAAGCGAGACUACAAAACUCGGUACUGACGAACAGGAACCGUAUACGGAGGCAUAUUUACUUGGGUAAGCAACCACAUCAUUGUAACGCCCUAAGAAGACCAAAAAGGUAAAUAUGUAGAUACGGCAGGGAUUGAGUGAAAGAAUAUGUU